Molecule: non-coding RNA, 22 nt
Filed under: Arabidopsis thaliana (thale cress)
Lineage: Eukaryota; Viridiplantae; Streptophyta; Magnoliopsida; Brassicales; Brassicaceae
Source: RNAcentral
GUCGCUGCCGUGAUCGUGGUCU